GAGUUUGAUCGUGGCUCAGAUUGAACGCUGGCGGCAGGCCUAACACAUGCAAGUCGAGCGGAUGAAGGGAGCUUGCUCCUGGAUUCAGCGGCGGACGGGUGAGUAAUGCCUAGGAAUCUGCCUGGGUAGUGGGGGAUAACGUCCGGAAACGGGCGCUAAUACCGCAUACGUCCUGAGGGAGAAAGUGGGGGAUCUUCGGACCUCACGCUAUCAGACGAGCCUAGGUCGGAUUAGCUAGUUGGUGGGGUAAAGGCCUACCAAGGCGACGAUCCGUAACUGGUCUGAGAGGAUGAUCAGUCACACUGGAACUGAGACACGGUCCAGACUCCUACGGGAGGCAGCAGUGGGGAAUAUUGGACAAUGGGCGAAAGCCUGAUCCAGCCAUGCCGCGUGUGUGAAGAAGGUCUUCGGAUUAUAAAGCACUUUAAGUUGGGAGGAAGGGCAGUAAGUUAAUACCUUGCUGUUUGACGUUACCAACAGAAUAAGCACCGGCUAACUUCGUGCCAGCCG
This 510-nucleotide ribosomal RNA is filed under the name uncultured microorganism. Its description in RNAcentral is "bacterial SSU rRNA". It matches the Rfam family "Bacterial small subunit ribosomal RNA", at positions 9 to 514 of the family's 1533-position model. The record is from RNAcentral.